Molecule: ribosomal RNA, 781 nt
Filed under: Lacticaseibacillus paracasei
Lineage: Bacteria; Bacillati; Bacillota; Bacilli; Lactobacillales; Lactobacillaceae
Description: bacterial SSU rRNA
Rfam family: Bacterial small subunit ribosomal RNA
Source: RNAcentral
CUCGAAAGCAUGGGUAGCGAACAGGAUUAGAUACCCUGGUAGUCCAUGCCGUAAACGAUGAAUGCUAGGUGUUGGAGGGUUUCCGCCCUUCAGUGCCGCAGCUAACGCAUUAAGCAUUCCGCCUGGGGAGUACGACCGCAAGGUUGAAACUCAAAGGAAUUGACGGGGGCCCGCACAAGCGGUGGAGCAUGUGGUUUAAUUCGAAGCAACGCGAAGAACCUUACCAGGUCUUGACAUCUUUUGAUCACCUGAGAGAUCAGGUUUCCCCUUCGGGGGCAAAAUGACAGGUGGUGCAUGGUUGUCGUCAGCUCGUGUCGUGAGAUGUUGGGUUAAGUCCCGCAACGAGCGCAACCCUUAUGACUAGUUGCCAGCAUUUAGUUGGGCACUCUAGUAAGACUGCCGGUGACAAACCGGAGGAAGGUGGGGAUGACGUCAAAUCAUCAUGCCCCUUAUGACCUGGGCUACACACGUGCUACAAUGGAUGGUACAACGAGUUGCGAGACCGCGAGGUCAAGCUAAUCUCUUAAAGCCAUUCUCAGUUCGGACUGUAGGCUGCAACUCGCCUACACGAAGUCGGAAUCGCUAGUAAUCGCGGAUCAGCACGCCGCGGUGAAUACGUUCCCGGGCCUUGUACACACCGCCCGUCACACCAUGAGAGUUUGUAACACCCGAAGCCGGUGGCGUAACCCUUUUAGGGAGCGAGCCGUCUAAGGUGGGACAAAUGAUUAGGGUGAAGUCGUAACAAGGUAGCCGUAGGAGAACCUGCGGUUGGAUCACCUCC